GCAUGAUGACAACUCUAUAGUUUCCUGUCAGCCUGAUACCCUCUCGUGAAGACAUAACUUCAACUCAGCUCACACUGAAGCGCU
RNAcentral lists this unclassified non-coding RNA (84 nucleotides) under Wallacemonas collosoma. Its description in RNAcentral is "C/D box snoRNA G2". The record is from RNAcentral. Lineage: Eukaryota; Euglenozoa; Kinetoplastea; Trypanosomatida; Trypanosomatidae.